RNAcentral lists this ribosomal RNA (1504 nucleotides) under Helicobacter pylori. RNAcentral describes it as "bacterial SSU rRNA". It matches the Rfam family "Bacterial small subunit ribosomal RNA". Lineage: Bacteria; Pseudomonadati; Campylobacterota; Epsilonproteobacteria; Campylobacterales; Helicobacteraceae. The record is from RNAcentral.
UUUAUGGAGAGUUUGAUCCUGGCUCAGAGUGAACGCUGGCGGCGUGCCUAAUACAUGCAAGUCGAACGAUGAAGCUUCUAGCUUGCUAGAGUGCUGAUUAGUGGCGCACGGGUGAGUAACGCAUAGGUUAUGUGCCUCUUAGUUUGGGAUAGCCAUUGGAAACGAUGAUUAAUACCAGAUACUCCCUACGGGGGAAAGAUUUAUCGCUAAGAGAUCAGCCUAUGUCCUAUCAGCUUGUUGGUAAGGUAAUGGCUUACCAAGGCUAUGACGGGUAUCCGGCCUGAGAGGGUGAACGGACACACUGGAACUGAGACACGGUCCAGACUCCUACGGGAGGCAGCAGUAGGGAAUAUUGCUCAAUGGGGGAAACCCUGAAGCAGCAACGCCGCGUGGAGGAUGAAGGUUUUAGGAUUGUAAACUCCUUUUGUUAGAGAAGAUAAUGACGGUAUCUAACGAAUAAGCACCGGCUAACUCCGUGCCAGCAGCCGCGGUAAUACGGAGGGUGCAAGCGUUACUCGGAAUCACUGGGCGUAAAGAGCGCGUAGGCGGGAUAGUCAGUCAGGUGUGAAAUCCUAUGGCUUAACCAUAGAACUGCAUUUGAAACUACUAUUCUAGAGUGUGGGAGAGGUAGGUGGAAUUCUUGGUGUAGGGGUAAAAUCCGUAGAGAUCAAGAGGAAUACUCAUUGCGAAGGCGACCUGCUGGAACAUUACUGACGCUGAUUGCGCGAAAGCGUGGGGAGCAAACAGGAUUAGAUACCCUGGUAGUCCACGCCCUAAACGAUGGAUGCUAGUUGUUGGAGGGCUUAGUCUCUCCAGUAAUGCAGCUAACGCAUUAAGCAUCCCGCCUGGGGAGUACGGUCGCAAGAUUAAAACUCAAAGGAAUAGACGGGGACCCGCACAAGCGGUGGAGCAUGUGGUUUAAUUCGAAGAUACACGAAGAACCUUACCUAGGCUUGACAUUGAGAGAAUCCGCUAGAAAUAGUGGAGUGUCUGGCUUGCCAGAUCUUGAAAACAGGUGCUGCACGGCUGUCGUCAGCUCGUGUCGUGAGAUGUUGGGUUAAGUCCCGCAACGAGCGCAACCCCCUUUCUUAGUUGCUAACAGGUUAUGCUGAGAACUCUAAGGAUACUGCCUCCGUAAGGAGGAGGAAGGUGGGGACGACGUCAAGUCAUCAUGGCCCUUACGCCUAGGGCUACACACGUGCUACAAUGGGGUGCACAAAGAGAAGCAAUACUGCGAAGUGGAGCCAAUCUUCAAAACACCUCUCAGUUCGGAUUGUAGGCUGCAACUCGCCUGCAUGAAGCUGGAAUCGCUAGUAAUCGCAAAUCAGCCAUGUUGCGGUGAAUACGUUCCCGGGUCUUGUACUCACCGCCCGUCACACCAUGGGAGUUGUGUUUGCCUUAAGUCAGGAUGCUAAAUUGGCUACUGCCCACGGCACACACAGCGACUGGGGUGAAGUCGUAACAAGGUAACCGUAGGUGAACCUGCGGUUGGAUCACCUCCUUU